GGGGCCGUGGUCUAGCUUGGUUAUGAUACGCGGCUUGGGCCCGCGUGGUCCCCGGUUCAAAUCCGGGCGGCCCCA
Molecule: transfer RNA, 75 nt
Filed under: Candidatus Caldarchaeum subterraneum
Lineage: Archaea; Thermoproteati; Nitrososphaerota; Candidatus Caldarchaeales; Candidatus Caldarchaeaceae
Description: tRNA-Pro
Rfam family: tRNA
About the family: Transfer RNA (tRNA) molecules are approximately 80 nucleotides in length.
Source: RNAcentral